AAGUCAUAACAAGGUUUCUGUAGGUGAACCUGCAGAGGGAUCAUUAUUGAAUUGUAAAAAUUGGGGAGUUUCGACUCCUCUACAUUCUUUAUUCCUUUAAACACCUGUGAAUCGUUGCUGAGUUUGCUCAGUGGCACAUCUUUUUUCAUACACACUUUAUAGUUUAGAACGUAAAAAAAUAAAAUAAAAAUACAA
RNAcentral lists this unclassified non-coding RNA (195 nucleotides) under plant metagenome. RNAcentral's name for it is "partial contains small subunit ribosomal RNA and internal transcribed spacer 1". The stretch from base 1 to 46 matches the Rfam family "Eukaryotic small subunit ribosomal RNA", at positions 1786 to 1831 of the family's 1831-position model. The record is from RNAcentral.